Aethalodelphis obliquidens (Pacific white-sided dolphin) is the source of this 557-nucleotide long non-coding RNA. RefSeq lists it as uncharacterized. NCBI's taxonomy places the organism in Eukaryota, Metazoa, Chordata, Mammalia, Artiodactyla, Delphinidae. The record is from RefSeq and is a predicted model, not a curated record. The transcript has 4 exons.
GAACAAGGGCAUUCUGUGCUAUUCUAAAGAGUUUCAACUCUCUUCUGAAGGAGAUGGAAAACGGUUGAGGUCGUUUGAAGCAGGCAGUGACGUGAAGUAGGGAUUGUGUAGGUAAGGAGGAAUGGGUCCAGGCUGAUGACUAAAUUUCUCUCUUGAGUUUCUGUGUAGGUGAUGGCGAUGUAACCCACCGGGAGAAGUACCACAGAAGAAAAAGCUGGCUGGGAGAAGAAGGUCCCUGUCCCACCUGCGAUGGAGGUGGAAAAGGAGCUGCUCUCUUCAGGACUAGAUGCUAAUUCUAUCCUGAUUGGCUGGAUUAGAUGGAUAUCGAGACUGAGCUCGACCUCUGUGUGUGUUUUCUGAUAGAAGUCCUAGAAAACAGAAGAGGCGAGAACAGGAAAUGAAUUCAACCACAAGAAUGAGCUUGGAAGAGGACCCCAGAGGAGACCCACAGCCCCAAUCAACGCUCUGAUUUCAGCCCAGUGAGACCCUGAGCAGAGCGUCCAGCCUACCAGGCCCAGACUUCUGACCUGCAGAAACUGUGAGGUAAUAAAUCUGUG